This is a long non-coding RNA of Myotis davidii, 1241 nucleotides long. RefSeq lists it as uncharacterized. The record is from RefSeq and is a predicted model, not a curated record. The transcript is spliced from 3 exons. Lineage: Eukaryota; Metazoa; Chordata; Mammalia; Chiroptera; Vespertilionidae.
GCCUGCACCCCAACCUGGGCCUGGAUGAAACUGCAACAUAGAUUGGGAAACUGAGAUAAAGCAGGAGGAAGUAGCUGGUCUCAGCAAGUAAACACAGUUCCACUGACCACAGGACAGCAAGUUGGAUUUCUGCCCAAGAUGUCAACAUGCAUCGCCUGGCUCCCCACUCCCUCGCCCUGUCCCCAGCUGUGUUUUCUUUGGAUUUCUGCAUGGCUUGGAGAAGCUGCGUCAGCCCAUCUCCCAUCCUGACCUUUCUCCCACCCCCAACACCCACCCUGGCCAUCCCUCAGGAAGUGACCUCCACCCUCUCCCUCUGCCUGAGCCCAUGAGCAUUGCAAUGCAUGUACCUGUAUUGGUCAGCAUGGGUGAGCCUGGGCAUCUGUAAUAGGAGAUCCAGUUAGAACUAGGGGCGGAGUGUGUGUGGGGAGGGGGCAGAUUCGGACCAGGAGAUUCUAUCUCCCAAACAGGUGGAAUGACCACUUGUUUCAAGAAAGCAAAGCAGCUGGACAGAACUGUCCCCUUGGGGGGGGGGGGGCAGACAUUUACCAAAUGGAGAGAUGGGAAAUAAAGGGCUAUGGCUUUCUGAGUUCGGUUCGGAGCUGUUGACAGCUUUCUGUGGCGUCUAAACCUUGGAGACCUGGUCUUUUGCCUUCUCCCAUUUCCCAUUUGCCUUUUCCCAUUUCCUCCUUGCAGAUCAGUUCCUCUUUUCUGUCGAAGGAGACAGCCACCUGGUCCCCGAAGGCCCUUCCAGGGCCUUCCUAACGACUGCAAGAAGCACCCAACACAUUCCAGCAUCUUGAAAAUUUUUCCAUGAGGCUCUAAUACUACACAGAUGCUGACAUAAACAGACUUUGAUCUGACAAGGACUGCCAGCCCUCCAUGCAGGAAUCAUGAGGACACCUUAGCCCUCCAGUUUCCCUCCUCUCUUCACCCAGCUAGAUCCAUAAUUCAUCACCCCCUCCCACCCCACCCUCAGUACUAACUUCUGCUCCUCUCUGUUUUCUCCAUCUCAGAUCAUGGCACACCCUCCACCCAGAUGCUCGAUUGAGUCAAAAACAAUAAGAGUCAUGUUUAACUCCUUUUUUCUUUCUACCACGUCAGUAAAUAAUUGUGUCUCCACCUCCCAAAGAUGUCCCACAUCUAUACUUUCUCUCCCAUUUGCACCAACACUAGCGCAGUGGUCGGCAAACUCAUUAGUCAACAGAGCCAAAUAUCAACAGUACGAUUGAAAUUUCUUUUGA